UACGUAGGGGGCAAGCGUUGUCCGGAAUCAUUGGGCGUAAAGCGCGUGUAGGCGGCCCGAUAAGUCCGCUGUGAAAGUCCAGGGCUCAACCCUGGAAUGCCGGUGGAUACUGUCGGGCUAGAGUCCGGAAGAGGCGAGUGGAAUUCCUGGUGUAGCGGUGAAAUGCGCAGAUAUCAGGAGGAACACCAAUGGCGAAGGCAGCCCCCUGGGCUGACACUGACGCUCAGGCACGAAAGCGUGGGGAGCAAACAGG
Molecule: ribosomal RNA, 253 nt
Filed under: uncultured bacterium
Lineage: Bacteria
Description: partial 16S ribosomal RNA
Rfam family: Bacterial small subunit ribosomal RNA
Source: RNAcentral